CGGCGCGGCAAUAGUACCUUGAAAGCACCAGUUCACCAGUUGAGCACGGUUGCGCGUGGUUAGUACCUGGAUGGGUGACCAUCUGGCCAAUAGCGUGCUGCCUAGC
This 106-nucleotide ribosomal RNA is filed under the name Diaphorina citri (Asian citrus psyllid). The record is from RNAcentral. Lineage: Eukaryota; Metazoa; Arthropoda; Insecta; Hemiptera; Psyllidae.